Long non-coding RNA from Ictalurus punctatus (channel catfish), 2405 nucleotides. Lineage: Eukaryota; Metazoa; Chordata; Actinopteri; Siluriformes; Ictaluridae. The record is from Ensembl.
ACAGGAUGAUUUUAAAAUCCAUGUUUUAAGUAAAAUUCAUUUGUUGGGCCAUAUUAGGGUCAAACCCAGCUAUAUGUAUGACACCCCUGAUUAGCACAUUUUGACGGUAGCUAAAUUUAUGGCCCUGAGUUUACAAGGUACACUCUUGUACAAGGUACACUCUUCUCUUGGUACAUGACACCGUCUGCACCCUUAAGGUGAGACCCUAAGCCCAAAACAUAGUGUAUAUACCUAAUCAGAUUACAUAUUGUACAUGUUUUAGAUAUUGCACAGACAUUAUUUUGUAUACAUUUAUGGCAUUGCCAUAUUUGUAUCAGGCUAUGGGUUGAAAUGAAACACUGAGAGACUUUCUUUCCAUGCAGAACAGGAGUGUAUGUCCUAUAGGUCUUUCUAUAGGUGCCCAGGGCUUUUUUUUUUUUUUCUUUUUUUUUGUCUGGCUUUCAUGAGUGUUUUAUUUGUUCACACUUGCAUCUACUGUAUUUAGGUAGUAGUAUUACACACUGUAACAUUUGGUCUCUCACAAUCAGGUGCAGAAAUAGUGUUCAGUUGAGACAAUGGCAGGUUCACUAUCAUCCAUGUAAACUCUGGUGUAAGAAUGAGGUUGGCAUAAAAAAAUAUGAAAAGAAAGGAAAUUUGUUCCUACACCACUCUUGUGGUUUUAGUUCAGUGCCACCUCAGUGAUGCUUGCCUGCAUCUCAGUAGUGUGUGAAACUCCCUGUGGGAGGCGUCCUGUUUACACGAACUUGCUGCCUGUAAAUAUGUCUGUUUAUGUGGUCAGACCCAGCUAUUUUCCUUGUUUCUCUUCCCCCCUGCCUGUUGGGGUCAGCUACAUGGUGCCUUGGCUGCAUGAGGGUUCCUCCACAAAUUUGGCUAUUCUUCUAACAUAGCGAAUGCUGUUUUUUUGGAAGUAAACACAGUGGAGGACUGCGUACAGAUAGGCCAAGAGAUGGGGAAAAAAACAAUGUUUAUGUACAGAAACACUGAAAAAUUUUGUAUAGAUUUUCCACUGAUUUAAUUUGCACUAAAUACAGAAAUGGCGAUCAAAAGAAAGUGGACGCCUUUUUUUCCUUUCCUAAAGGUUACCAACAAACGGAUCAUGUUCUGAUUCUUAUAUGAAUGCAAGACACUGAUGGUCUUUUUAUAAAAACGUCAGUCCUGGGAAACAUUUAUUCUCAGUAGCAAAUAAGUGUGAGAGACCUUGCAAGAGAUGUGUGUGUAUAUAUUGUCCAUAUGUGAGGCAUCUACUGCACAUAAGACUCAUUACAUUCAUUCAAGACAGCAAGAAAUCUCUUUAUACUUUCUGUCAUUCUCCUUGAUGCGUUACUAUACAUUGAGUCACAUGAAGGGAGGUUGUAGGCCAGCUAUAUUUUUCAGUUAAUCGAUUAUAUUCUAUAUACUUAUUUUUGCUGAAAGCUAUGAAAGCCAUAUUUUCCCUAGAUGGGACUUGGCAUCACCUUGUAAUAAGCCAGAGUGUGUCAAAAUGCUCACACUACAUGUACAAUAUUGUAGAGAAAUACAUUAUGAAAUAAUCAUAAACAUACAUUUCUGGGUAAAUUAUGUGGCUGUUUUAAUACAUCUUGAUGGUAUUUCAGUACUUAAAUUGUAAGCAUUUCUUCCAAGUUUGAUACACAGGGGUUUGGAGCUCACGGGCUCUCUGCUAUCUAAAGAAAGAUCCUUUGUGAAAGAUGUUAUGUUUUGUAACAACUGCUUAAUCAUACAAUGUAAUUUUCACUGAAUGCUGCUUCAUCUCCAUUGAAAGCAAUGUCCUAGUCUAGUAUUGAACCUUGAUAGUCUAGCUCAGGGCAUCAUUACUGAGAAAAAAAACAAACAAGUUCUUACUGAUAUUAGUAUUCCACUUAAAGUACAGUGAAAAUCCCAAUGUGCACGCUUGGCUCUUGAACAAUACACAGUAUAUACAGCAAAGUGUACAUUUUGAUCCAUGUGAAACAUGUAUGGACAUGUAACCUGGAUGUGUUUCCACCUUUAUGUCAAGCAUGAUAACUGUGAGCUUUUAUGUGCGAAUGCUGCAGCAGUCCUUCUUUGCAAAGGAUCGUUUUACCUCUGAAUAUUGCUGUGCCUUUGUUUUAAGCUAGCCUUGCCAACGAAUUGUAGAGCAUUUUGAAUUUUCCUUUUUUUUUUUUUUUUUUUUUCCUUUUCUGUUGAGAUGAGACUUCCUGUUGCUUUCUAUAUUUAUGCUGUAUUCUCCAUAUAUUCAUUGUCCAGUUUGGUAUUUAGUUUUAUGACUUUUUAUUUUUUCUUUUAAUUUAACAGUCAUACACAAGCUGUGAAAAAAAAAAAAAAAAAACAUUCUGCACUUUAAAAUUCUGGCCAUGAAAAUUGAGAAUCCAAGGAGUCGAUUAUAUUUGAUUGCAGCUGGAAUAAAACUGCCGCUCCUUAACAAUUAA